Molecule: unclassified non-coding RNA, 263 nt
Filed under: plant metagenome
Description: partial contains small subunit ribosomal RNA, internal transcribed spacer 1, and 5.8S ribosomal RNA
Source: RNAcentral
UCUCCGUAGGUGAACCUGCGGAAGGAUCAUUAUUGUAUAACCGAGGUGCGAGGGCUGUCGCUGACCCGAAAGGUCGUGCACGCCCGAGUGCCCUCACACACAUCCAUCUCACCCCUAUGUGCACCACCGCGUGGGUCCCCCUUUGGCUUGUUCGGAGGGGGGCUUACGUUUUCACACAAACUUUGUAUGCAGUGUAGAAUGUAUUUUUUGUUUUUGCGAUCACGCAAUCAAUACAACUUUCAACAAUGGAUCUCUUGGCUCUC